Molecule: long non-coding RNA, 9881 nt
Filed under: Glycine max (soybean)
Lineage: Eukaryota; Viridiplantae; Streptophyta; Magnoliopsida; Fabales; Fabaceae
Description: long non-coding RNA (GMAX_LNC002153)
Source: RNAcentral
AACAAGCAUUGGCUAGCAAUUGUCAAGCUUUAGUCAAGAUGAUAAAGAAACACUUAAUCUACCCAUCCUAACCUCAGAUACAAGAGAUUAACAUAGAACAUGUCGGUGGGAUCUUAGUAUAUACACGAAAUUGUGCAUAUAAGAAGAUACCAUGGAUAAGUAAGCCCCAACCUGAUACAAAUUAAAUAGCAACAGAAAAUCUGCAUAUGGCUAGCCCAAAAUAGAACCAGCAGAAUAGCAGAGACAGCAUUAACGUGAAUUAAAUCUGAUGGGAAAUGCAUGCACUAGUGCUUAUGAGAAAGUGAAAUUUGGUUCAGAUGAUUUCAACCAUGACCAGGACUGAAAUAAUGUCUUGGAAAAACUUGUCUCUGUUGAAGAUGAUGUUGUUUCUCCAAUUCCAAACAACCCAUGUAAUGGCACACCACAAGACCCGCCAAAUUCGAUUUGUAAUCGGAGAGCACUUAUAUAAAACAGUAAUGCUCUUGGACAGUUGCAGGUAUUGAAGAGGAAAGAUUAAGCCACGAGUAGCAUUCUGACCAAACCAAGCUGACUGUGGGACAACUGAAAAGAGAAUGAGCCAAUGUUUUCAUCAAGAGAACCACAAAAGGGUCGACCAAGUCCGAAUAUGUCACAGGAAUAUUCCUCCUCCUAAUAUUAUCAGCUGUGGGCGGGCAUUCGUUACGAAUGCUACUCUACUGCUAUUCUACUGCUAAGAAACUAAGGAAAACUAAUUGAGAUAAUUAUUUUGAUAUAUCUCAUUAAUUCCACUUCUUUACAUAUUUAUAAUACUUUCCUUCCAACAGGAUAUAAUUUGUUAUAACAGAAUUUGUUAACAUCCUACUCAGCUACUUUGUGGAAUUGUUAUAACUGUCUAAGGUAGUGGUAUGAGGCUUUUUGUGUUGUUAUUUCCAUCAGUAUUGCUAUUAUUACCCUCUGCUGGAAAAGCCAACCUUGUCCUCAAGGUUGGACAAUCAAAACAAAACUGAAACAAGGAUGGAUUUAGAAAAAAAAAAUGUGAUAGAAGUUGCUUUGUUGGUGGGCUUGUUUGGGGUCUGACAAAGAUAACCCUAAGGGUUAUCACAUACGUGAAGGUGGAGAAGUAGGUGGAGGUUGAUGUCGACACGGUGGUGCUGCCACACUCUGACGGGGAAGUAGGUGGUGCUGGAAUCGAUUCCGAUAGCAGGACCAUCUCCUUUUCCAGCCAUGGGAAGCGGAGUCGAGAUGGGUGUGGGGCUUUGUUGCCUAGGUGCGGGACAUGGAAUCGCGAUCGGCAUAAGAAGGGGAGUCAACAUUAAGGCAUCUGUCAAUGGCCAGUUUGGGUUACCCCAUUCUUGAGGAUAAGGCUGAAGAGGAACGUGGUAGUAUGGUGUGAACUAAGGAGGAGGCACGUGAGAGCGAGGCGGAGGAGGGUACUGGCUGGGGUGGUAAUAAUAAACGUUCGGCAGAGGAGCUGGCGGCGACGAUGACUGCACCGAAGAAGGAAACGGGGAGCAUUGGCGAGAUAUCAUGGUAUCCAGUUUCAGGAUAAUGAGAUCAAGUUUGAAGAUCAUGGAGGCUUGGGUCACUGCGAAACAAAGUUGAGAUGCAUAGAGAUUGGAAUCCAUGAAAGCUUGGGCUGCGGCGAGUUUGGCCAUGGCGGCCUCGAGGCGGUCCAAGCUGGUGGUAGAAGGUUCAGCAUCGGCAUUCGCCAUUGAAGAGCGGCAAAGAAGGGGCAGGCCAGACCAAAUUGUUACGUAUGCUACUCUACUACUAAGAAACUAAGGAAAACUAAUUGAGAUAAUUAUUUUGAUAUAUCCCAUUAAUUCCACUUCUUUACAUAUUUAUAAUACUUUCCUUCUAACAAAAUAUAAUUUGUUAUAACAAAAUUUGUUAACAUCCUACUAAGCUAAUUUGUGGAAUUGUUAUAACUGUCUAAGGUAGUGGUAUGAUGCCUGUUGUGCUGUUAUUUCUAUCAGUAUUGCUAUCAGCAUUCCACAAAGCUCUCCAAACAAAAGUAAUGAUCUUAAGAGGAAUUUUUAGGUUCCAUAGAGACUCAAAGGUUUGAGAUUGAUGGGAACCAACAGCCACGGCAAGUAAGUAACCAUAUGUUGAUUUCAUUGUCAAGUUUCCAAAACCGUGCUCCUUCCAAAUCCAAAAAAAAUAGCUUCCCCCAUUCCCAAGCUUACAAAUAGCAAUAAGCUGAAAAAAAUUAUGCACCAUGGGUAAUUCCCACUCAAACCAAGACCGUCUCCAGUUAAAGUUCCAUCGUACAAACUCAUCCUACUAAUAGGCUCCUUGAUAAGUGCUAAAUAAUUAUACUUUGAUAAUAGAAAACUAAGUAAAAUUUCCUUUAAAAAAUAUUUAUUUAGCAAUUAUUUGUGUUAAUAUGUUAAGAAUUGAUGUUUUGUUAAAUCCUGACUGCAGAUAUAAAAACUGGAGUGACAACAAGAAAAAAGGUGGGAAAAUAACAAAGAAAAGAAGGAAUUAGAAAGGCCCAGCCCAAUGUUGCACUUAGCGUGUAGCACACACUAAGCGCGCAACACUAGAACAAUACGCGCUAAGCGAGAGGAGCUCGCUAAGUGAGCAUACGAAGGCCCAAGUCCACUUCAGCAGUUAUAAAUAGAGAGUCAGACCAGGGGAAAAGGGACCACUACAGAAUCCCCCCUAGGGGAAAUCAUUUACUCCUUUUCUUUCUUUCACCCCUCUCAUUGUAAAACCCUCAUGGCCAUGAGUAGUUAAACCCCUAGUUAGGGCCUGACAGACUUAAAAGUCAAAGCGAUGUAUGAUGUACUCUUCAUUAUUUAUCAAUGCAAUACUAGGUGUUUUCUAUUCUAUUAUCUUUUCUGCUUUUAUCUUGCAUUAUUUAUCUUUAUAUUCUUUUAGGGGUUAGGUGCUCGAGAGAGUGUAAUCUUUAAUUAAGAUUUAAGGAAAUUAUACAUGUAUCAGUUUUAGGGGUUAGAUACUCGAGAGAGGGUAACCUUCAAUAGAACAAGGAGAAAGAAUAUCUUAAUAAAAUCAUUGUUAGAUAUAGAAUGAUUACAUUAUGUCCAUGUGUCAAAGCAAACAUCUAGAAUUAAAUCUUCAUGCAUUUUAUUUAUUAAAUCUUUUUAAAGACAUUUGGGAGAUAUGUAAGUAAAAUUGGCUUGUCAUCGUGAGGAAUCAGGGGCAAAUGAAUAAAUUGAUAAAGAAAAAUCAUAAACUCAUACAUCCUAGACAAAUAAGGCAUGCUAGGUCCCAACAUUAUCACGCUUUGAUUUUCUUUUAUUUUUUAUCUUCUAUUUUUAUCUUUUAUUUUUCUUAUCUUAUCUUAUUUUUUUAUCUUUAUUUUAGUCUUUUAUUUUUCUUAUCUUUUACUUUUAUUUUCUUAUUUUCUUUAUCUUCUAUUUUGAUUUUUAAAUCUUUAUCUUAUCUAUUUUUUUAUCUGUAUUUUAAAUUUUUUAUCUAUUGCUUUUAAAUUGGGUUUAUAUUAAUCUAAGUACAAACAAAGUUCAUGUGGAUUCGACACUCGGACUUUUGAGUACUUUACUACUUGUGACAGAUUUGGUACACUUGCCAACGAGUUAACACUUUUCAUUUUGGUUAGAAUUUAAGAAAAUUCUAGGAUAGACAUGAGCUAGUGGUUCAUGGCCAAUCCAACAAUCAUGCCAAAAUUCUACCCUAUUUCCCUCCUCACCCUCCACUCCACACACUCAUCAUCAAACCACUUGGACUCAUUAUGACCACCACACACCUUGCACAAAUCCCUCCACCAAAUAGAAGAGUUAAAAAAAUGGAUCAAUUUAAUCAUUUAAAGUGUGUCUGAUUAACAAGAAUCAACCAAUUUAAGAUAAUUUUUUUUCCUGAUAUUUUAAAACCUGACUAUUUAUUGAACUGAUAAAAAAAAUCGAUUGAGUUCCCUCUAAACCCACUCUAAUAGCGAAAUUUUACUGUAAACAGACGAUUUAUAGUGGGCUAUGAGUUUGUUUGUAAAACCUUUAUCAGUAAAUUUCAUCGAUGGCCACAAAGAAGUCGUUUGUAAUACGACGGGCUUAGUCCAUUGUAAGUAGAAGGUAAUAUAGUGGAUUUAGUCAUCAGUAAAUUGAUUAUCGAUGAUACAAAGGACUUACCCGUCAAUAAGUGAUGAGUAACAAUGGACCUGGGCUAACAUGUAUAACAAAUUAUAGUGAAUUUAGCUCAUUGUAUUAAUGUGAAUUUUUUACCAUUGUGAUAUAAACGACUUAAACUAUAUGUAAUAUAGUGUAUUUUUUGCACAAUAAGAACCCACUAUAAUAAAGUGGGAAACCUUAGGUAAUUAUAUUUUUUAAUUAAAUUUAUUUUUUAGGAAAUUAUCAAAACCUGUAAAAACAAUACUUAUUUGAAAAUAAUAUAAAAAUAGUACCUAGUUAAACAUAAAAUUAAUGCAUGACAAUAUUUCAUUUCCAUAUAUAUAUAUAUAACCAUCAAAAUUCACAAUAGAACUAUAGUAGUUGUGAUAAUACAAAUCCAUGAGUACUUGCUACUAAGUCAUAUCAAAAAACCAUUGAAGUGCUUCUAUGAAGUAUAAAGUAUAAAAAAAAUCACAGAAGUAUGGUACUAAGUCAUGAUACAAAAAUGUGUGUGUACGACGAUGAGAUUGAAGACGCUGGCUGAGAUUUGAUCAGCCACCCACUCUGGAGCAAUGGUUUGAGAAGAUCUACAAGAUUCUCUUGCUUCACUUGUGUUAGUUGAGCACCCAACAUUUCAUAAUCAAAAUGCACAUGUGUGUGUUAGUUAAGCUCCCUCUGGCCCAGCUUUGUCAUUCACAAAAUAAUGAAACAACCAAUCAAAUAAACAGACACAAAGUGAAAUUAAAAACUAAUUUGCAAACCUGCAAUGUGGAUGUCAAAAUUGGAAGGACAUAUCUCUAAGGUGUGCGGCGACUCUGACGAGGAGAGAAGAAAAAUCUGAAAUUAGAAAUAAAAUACAAAACAAAGAACAGAGAAAAAAAAUUCACGGUGUUGGGAAUCGCCACCAUGGACACAUACCAAAGGGUGUGCAACGAUUUUCUUUCGGUUCAUGAUCUUGACCACCGAUGGCAACGAGGGUGUGCAACGGUGGUGGCUGAGUGAGAGAAUGGUGUGUUUAGGUUUAAGGUUGAGGUAAGAACUUUUAAUAAAUUAAAAAUUAAAUUACAGUGGAUUUAAUCUACUGUAACCCUUAUUUUUAUUAAUUGAAAAUAAAAAAAAAUAUCAGAUUCAUCUUUUUGCAUUUUAUUUUAAGGUUAAAUUAUUCAUUUCGUCUCUAUAAUUUUAUGAUUCUUACUUUUUUAGUCUCUAUAAUUUGAAAGUAAUCAUUUUAGUCCCUAUAAUUUACAUUUUAAUCCUCUUUUAGUAUUUGUAGUUUUGAAAAUGAUCUUUUUAAUCGUUUCAUGAUUUUUAUUUUUUUUUUAUUCUCUAUAAUUUUCAAAUUAUAGGAACUAAAAAAAAUUAAAAUAUAAAUUAUGAGGACUAAAAUUAAUACUUUUAACUUCAAGAAUUAAAAGAGAAUUAAAAUGUAAAUCAUAAAGAAUUAAAAGGACUACUUUCAAACUAUUAGAACUAAAAAUAGAAGAAUCAUAAAACUAUAAGGAUCAAAUGAGUAAUUUAAUCUUAUUUUAAUUAAAAACUUUCAUCUUAAUUUAUUUUCUACUGAAAGGACACUCACCUGCAGUUUACCUCAUGCAUGGACCAAGUUCCCUGCCGUUUCAACUUGUACGUAUAUAUGGCACACCUGCUAGGAUGUAACAGUGUACAAUCGAUGUCUGUUUUCAAUUAAUUAUCUUCACUCCUUUCAAGCCUUGAAAGAGGAAUCGGGCGUAGGGACACCAUAAUCCAUCCAUUGCAGAGUGUAGUUAUAGCUCAAACAAGACAACUCUUACACUGAUACAGCCUUGAUUUCUGAGAGCAAUAAUUACAUGUGCGCAAUGCAUCACAUGCACGUCUGCUUUAGAGUAUUGAUAUUUCUCCACUUCAUCUCAAAUUGAGAUGAAAUGGAGUUAAAAAAUACAAGGAAGAUAAAAACUUAAUAUAUAGACAAAAUAUGUGAUAUAUAUUGUAAUAGAAAAAAAGUAAAAGUAAAAAUAAAAUGAAGGUGGAACAGAAUGGGAUGGGUUUGAAUCUCUCGGAUGUCAUUUUUCUUGCUCUUAGAGAAAUCCUCAAGUGCCUAUGAAUUAAUUGAAUAGUUAUAAUUAGGUGAAACUUGUUACAAUUUGUGCCUGUACAGAGUAAAGAACAUGAAAACAGGGUUAAGAAGCAUAAGACAGAAAAACAGAUGCAUCACUCAGAUUCCCCCACUAACUACAAAAUAAAGCUAGGCAGUACUGCUUUUCACCCCCUGUUUUUAUGUUUUUUUCUUUGUAUGAUUAGCUUUUGAUCCUUUCUGCCAUUGUCUUGGUAGAGGAUGUGUAUUCCAUAGGCAUUUCCUUUAUAUAUAUAUAUAUAUAUAUAUAUAUAUAUAUAUAUAUAUAUAUAUAUAUAUAUAUUAUUUUUGCCAAGUAAAAAAAAAAUAGUAAUUCUUUAGGUGGGCAUAUGUUGAUAUUGGGGGUGCCUAAUCCCCGGUAUACCUUUUUUUGUAAAAAAAGAAACUAAAUAUAUGUUAAGUAUUUUCCUUUAUUAUAAUUUUAGGAAUGUACAACAUAAAAAAUAUUAGAUAGGUAAAGUUGGCUAUGUGGGUCAAUCUUUCCCUUUAGGUCCUCUCAAUAGCAUGCAACUUAAAUUAGUUGAACUUAGGGGUGUUUAUAAGUAAAGCUAUGAAAAUUUUCAUAAACUUAAAUUAAUCUAUUUCAACUGAAGUACUUUGAAUUAAAAUUUUUAAUUAUUCGGAUAAGAUCCAAUGCAACUUAAUCAAAAUCAUUAUUCUUUAGAUUGAGUAUUAGGUUUUGGUAUUAAAUGCACAAAUCUAACUCAAUUUAUUGAUGUGAUUUAUUUUUAUUUUUAAUUUAUUAUUUAUAUAUUUUACUAAAAAUAAAAAUGAGAAAACACACAAUGAUAUGACUAGUCUACUACACGUGCCUUAGUCUCAUAUUUAUCUUUUCCUAUUUAGGUUUUUUAUACUAUUAUAUUUAUAUUCAAUAAAAUUUUAUAACAUAAUUAAAAUGUUAUAUAUAUAUAUAUAUAUAUAUAUAUAUAUAUAUAUAUAUAUUAUAUUUUGUUUUUGAUUUAUUAAUUAGUGAUCCUAAAACACAGUUAAAUAUUGUGGAGAAAAUGGAUGGUAGCAUAUACAAUAAUAUGUGUCAAAUGCAUACAAUUAUUCAAAAAUUAUAUCAAAAUUUCAUUUGAAAAUGGUGGAAUAUUGAGUUAGGUUGAAUUGGAUUUAGAUAAUUUUUUUUAUAUCAAAUUUGAACCAAAUAAAUCUAUAUAAUAAUGGGUUGAGUUAGAUUGAAUUUAUGGAUAUAAUGAAUUAAAAUUAAUUUAUUAUAUUCAUAAAUCCAAUCUAACUCAACUCAUUAUUGAUAUAUGUUUAUUUUGAUUCAAAUUUGAUAUAAAAAAAGUUAUAUAAAUCUAAUUUAACCUAAUCUAAUUUAUUUUUUAUCCGGUCGGUAAUAGAUUAAACGAAAUUCAACCUAAACUUAACUAUAUAUACUCCUAGUUGAUCUAACUCAAAUAAUGAAAUAAGUAGUACAUAGUUCAUAUAUAUAUAUAUAAUAUAGGCUAAUAAUGAGUCAGCUUGUGGUCUCUGAAUAAAAAAGAAAAGGAAACAUAAAAAUGAAUAAAAAUAUGAAAAACAAAUAUAUCUAAAAAUAUGAUCAAAAUCAAACACUAUCAUCGAUCAUUAUAAACUACUUAAACUCUCAACCAAAACAAGCAUUCUUAAUAUUAUGCAUGUUUGAGCUGAGUUACAGUUGGUCUUUCAUUCUUCUUCAUUCUAAUUUUUAUCCCACCUGACUUCUCUCGCAGAGCUUAUUUCUCUUUCCCACAUUCCACCUUUUUCAUCCUUCUUGCAAUCUCUUGUUUUUUUAUUGAACCAAUGGAACAUGCAUAAUUUGGCCUAUUGAUGGCUCGUUAUUGCGCCUACAACACAAUCAUAUUUCGAAUCAAGUAUGGGAAGACCAAGAAAGAAUGAUUUGUCCUAGGUGUAAUUCUGUCUGAUCUUUUACGCAUUUGGAUCGUGUAGAUAAUCGUGUGAAAAAUUUAAUAAAUGAAACUAGUUUUGGUCGUGUUAUAACUAUCGGCCAAAUUGAUAUUAAUUAGCAUUUGGUCACUACGUUGAUUGAACGUUAGAGAUCCAAAACUCACAUUUCAUUUUUCAAUUGGGCCUCAAGAUUGAUGAACUGUCGGUUACUUAUGUCAUUAUUGGUGAUGUACAUGUUACUUAUCAUGCCUUACUUGGAGACAUUCCACUCCAUAAGUAUAUCAAGAAAAAAAUGAUUUAUCUAAAUUGACUGUCGCAAAAUUUUCAACAACUUAUUGAUGGUGAUAAUGUGAUUGCACAUGUUAAAGCUCAUAUCAUGAUGCUCAAAGACAAAUAUUUGAUGCAAGAUACAUUUGGAGCAAAGAUUCAUUUUAUGUAUCUUUAUUUUAUCAAAUUUAACAGAUUUACCAUUAAUGUCAUCACCGACAAAAUGAAAAGAAAAAAAAAGAUCGAAAAAGAAGUAUAUGGUAAGAUAUGACAUUGGUAGACCACAUAUCUACAAAUCCCUGCGACGCCAUUAGCAUAUUUAUUUAUAACAAUGACAGAACAGAAUUUAUGACACCAACAAUAAUGCAUUAAUUCUACUAUCCAACAAAGUUAGAGAAGCAAAAAUGUAACGUUGGUAGAAGGCCACGUAUAGCUUUACAUGAACACAAGCAUCUUGCACCAGCAGUGUCUAAGCUGAGAACCAUAUAUUGAUAAAUUAAUAACAAAGAUAAUGCGUCAUGAUGCUAGUUGAAAGAAAACACCCAUAAGAUGAUUCAAAUGUAGUAAUUUGUAUUGUUAAACACGAUCUGCAUUUUUUUUUACUUUUAUUUAAAUCACGGAAAAUCAUUAUUUCCAUUCACAUUCACACACGAAUAUAUAUAUAUAUAUAUAUUGCCAUAAAUACAUAUUAACCGCCAUAAAGUUUUAAAUAUAUAUAUAUAUAUAUUGCCAUAAAUACAUAUUAACCGCCAUAAAGUUUUAAAAAACAAAAACCGAAGAAGAAAUUGUCUUUGGAAGUACAAUUUCUUCGUAUUAAAAUCAUCUUUUGAAACACAAUUCACUUAUUUUUGUAAUUUUUUAAAAAAAUCUAUCUAUUUUGAUAAUUUAUGGGGAAAAAAUUGCAUCAUUACAGUAUAAAAGUCAACAAUCAUUUUGAAAACACUGAAUGCCCAUUUUUUUUAUCUUAUAUAUUUUGCACCCCAGAUAAAAAAAAUCCGUUCCAUAAGUCAUAAGAUAAUGUUUUUUACUAUAUCGUUAUAGAAGUUAUUCCAUUAAACAUCAAAGAAGUUAAAAACGAAGGUAAAGCGGCACAUAUAAAAAAACCACCCAGUCCAAAUUAAUCACGUACAGAAAAUCAAUUAUAAAAGCUAAACUUUAUUAAUUGGAUGGUAAUUCAUCAAUACAAUCACCGAAAUCACGUGAUUUAUUAUUCAUACUAUAUAACCUAUGAGUGGGUAAUAGUAUUUGUGUAUUCACUUAUUUUAAACGGAGGGAUAUAUAACCAAUUAAGUCGAUCUCUCCACUGGUGAGCACUUCAAGGGCAGAAUGUGAUGGCAUAAUCAGGCCUGUUGGAGCAAGUGAAAGUGCUGCUCUUAUCAUCGUAAGCGUAGGAAUAAGCAUCGGGACACUGCUCCUCGAAAAUCUGAGAGUAGUUCGUAGGUGGACAUGUUUCUGCGGUGUUGUUAGGUCCAGUGCAGCAAUAUCUAUCUUCCUUAAAAGCCUCGCAAGCACUCUUGCAAGCGAUGACGUUGCCAUCGGACCCUUUGACUUGAAGCUCCGCAGGGCAC